Molecule: transfer RNA, 87 nt
Filed under: Pseudomonas fluorescens
Lineage: Bacteria; Pseudomonadati; Pseudomonadota; Gammaproteobacteria; Pseudomonadales; Pseudomonadaceae
Also listed under: 3 other names
Description: tRNA-Leu
Rfam family: tRNA
About the family: Transfer RNA (tRNA) molecules are approximately 80 nucleotides in length.
Source: RNAcentral
GCCCCGAUGGCGGAAUUGGCAGACGCAGCAGACUUAAAAUUUGCCAGCCGUAUGGCUGUGCCGGUUCAACCCCGGCUCGGGGCACCA